UAUAUGUAUGUAUAUAUAUAUAUAUGUGUGUGUGUGUGUGUAAUUUUUCAUUGAGGGAAGAUCCUGGAACAAGUAUGAGGUAAAAUAAUGCUCCUCAGCACCCUGUGUAUCUAAUUACAGAUCCUCCUUUUUUCAGACCUUCUUGCUUAAUUCUUCUCCUACAAUAGGAAAAUCCCCCUCCAGCCAGAAUAUUCAAAUGAAGUGAGCUUCACGGCUCACACAAUUAGCCAUGUUUAGUAAUUUGAGAAAUGAAUGCCGCAGGGGCGAGAGGGAGGGGCAGGACAGACGGGGAGCAGACUGGCAGGGGAAGCCCACUAAAAUGGGUGGGUAUAAGCCUGGCGCUUUGUACCCGUGGCACAUGCAGAUGUCGCUGUAGUUCUUCCAAAAGCUUCCACUAAACGAACAGGAGGGAGGUAACGAAGAACUCGUUUGGCAUAAUAUGCCUCCACCGUGUGUUUCUAAGGUGUGUUACUGUGCAAGGUUGGUGGAGCGUGGGAAAAUUGCAACCAUGACCAGAAAAAACUGAAAUAGGUGAGAUCACUGCUAUGAGGGAGCCCUCCGAGCGUGAAUUAAUGAGAUUAUUAUAGUGACACAUAAGCAAGGCAAAGCAAUACCAGUGAGGUGUUCAUGUAUUCUGAAGCCUAUCAUAAGAUGUAGAUUAUGCAGAGUGCCGAUAUUAAUAUGCAUAGAGGCACUCGUUAUUACGCAGCUCAGCAUGCGGUAAUAUUGCAGUGCUGUUCUGCCAUGCCUCAGUUACUGUGUCAGAAUUUUAUUUUUGCAUAAACAAAGACAACCCUCAUUUCCUUGUCCUCCUAUUGAAAUGUUUACUUAUUGAUCAUAUCCCCAGGGGUCAAUUUGAAAAGAAAACAGUGAAUUUUAAGCAGCACGCUAUGCGAGUGACAGGAGUAAAACUGAUAAAGUCAAAGGAUAACGUGGCUCACACUUUCAGGGAUUUUACACAAGUGUAGUUUUCGUGGCCAGCACCUAGGAGGUGUAAGUAGCAAAUGUACUUGUACUCAUCUGUGGAGCCAAGGGUGUACUGGUCUUACAAUGAGCUGUGGUCAGGCACAGUGCUAAUGCAUUGCUGUCAUGAGGAGAAAGUCCAACAAAGAAGAAGUAAGUCCAACACAGACCCAGAGGCCCGUUGGUUGGUCUUUAUUUUUGAAUACCACUAUGUUUCUUGUUUGAAGAUGCAUAAAUGUUGCUUGCCCA
Long non-coding RNA from Thalassophryne amazonica, 1212 nucleotides. RefSeq lists it as uncharacterized. The record is from RefSeq and is a predicted model, not a curated record. NCBI's taxonomy places the organism in Eukaryota, Metazoa, Chordata, Actinopteri, Batrachoidiformes, Batrachoididae. The transcript has 3 exons.